AUCUAGUUGACGAGUUCCAAAUAGGACGAAAUGCGCAUCCUGAAU
Molecule: non-coding RNA, 45 nt
Filed under: Trichobilharzia regenti
Lineage: Eukaryota; Metazoa; Platyhelminthes; Trematoda; Strigeidida; Schistosomatidae
Source: RNAcentral